UGGGGAAUUUUGGACAAUGGGCGAAAGCCUGAUCCAGCCAUGCCGCGUGAGUGAAGAAGGCCUUCGGGUUGUAAAGCUCUUUUAGUCGGAAAGAAAAGAUCAUAAUGAACAAUUAUGAUUCAUGACGGUACCGACAGAAAAAGCACCGGCUAACUACGUGCCAGCAGCCGCGGUAAUACGUAGGGUGCGAGCGUUAAUCGGAAUUACUGGGCGUAAAGGGUGCGCAGGCGGUUUUGUAAGUCAGAUGUGAAAUCCCCGGGCUUAGCCUGGGAAUUGCGUUUGAAACUGCAAGACUAGAGUGCAGCAGAGGGGAGUGGAAUUCCAUGUGUAGCAGUGAAAUGCGUAGAGAUGUGGAAGAACACCGAUGGCGAAGGCAGCUCCCUGGGUUGACACUGACGCUCGUGCACGAAAGCGUGGGGAGCAAACA
This 427-nucleotide ribosomal RNA is filed under the name uncultured beta proteobacterium. RNAcentral's name for it is "bacterial SSU rRNA". It matches the Rfam family "Bacterial small subunit ribosomal RNA", at positions 355 to 774 of the family's 1533-position model. The record is from RNAcentral. Lineage: Bacteria; Pseudomonadati; Pseudomonadota; Betaproteobacteria.